Molecule: long non-coding RNA, 1016 nt
Filed under: Equus caballus (horse)
Lineage: Eukaryota; Metazoa; Chordata; Mammalia; Perissodactyla; Equidae
Description: lncRNA (ENSECAG00000051696.1)
Source: RNAcentral
AUGGAACGUCACAGAGUGCUCUUACACGAACCUAGAUGGUAGCGCCCACUACACACCAGGCUCUACGGUGUAGCCUAUUGCUCCCAGGCUACAAACCUGAACAGCAUGUUACUGUACUGAAUACUGCAGGCAAUUGUUACACAACGGUCCUGAAAUACAGAAGGAAUUGAGACUUUGAGAAGUUAUCUAGACCGAUGUUUUCCUCUAGGUUGAACUGUAUUUUGUAUUUUAAAACUGAUAUGCAUAUCUUACCACUUACAAAGAAGUAGGAGUUUAGCACGCAGUUUUCCCACAGUAGCUGGAUGAGGAAAAGAAGUUUCACAGCGUUUGUCUUCCUUACUAGGAGCUACGAAUUUUGCAAUCAUUCAUCUUUCAGGGAGGAAUGUCAACGUAUCCUUGUUACCCACGAAGUGUUCAAAACUGAAAAGGGAAUUUUUCAAACAUUUAUUCUUGUGCAGAAUGUGACAAUUCCAAAUUUUCAAAGUCAGAUUAAAUCUUCAACUUAAAAUAUAUUUUCAAACAGCGUAGCACACUUAGGGAUGUUUUUAAGGAAAUGAACAUUGUCAUCACUAUAUCAUCAAAGACUCAGAACAAUUUAGCUACAAACUCUGGCAUCUGCCUAGGGUGUAUCUAAUCUCUGACAAAUUUUCCACGCAGACAUAAGUGCAAAUCCAUUGCUAUUUUAAUUAUUUAAUCCAUUAUACUUAACUCUUUCCUCUCUUGCUAACAACUGGAGUUCUCUGUUCUCAUGCAAAUAUGAGCUAGAAAUAAAUCAUGAGGGAUGCUUAAGGAUUAUACAGAUAUAUGUAAUCUUUUCAGGCUACAGGUACUCAUAUAAUAAGAAUAAAUUUCAAAAGCAGCAUUCCUGUUUCACAGGCAUUGUCAGUCCUCUCAAUUUCCCAUCAUCUACAUCCUGUAAUUCUUAAUAUUCAUGAAAUGUAAGCCAUUGUUAUUCUAUUAAAACUGGCUUCUUUCCAAUUUUCUUAACACAGUUAUACAUAUGUCAAACCUCAAAA